UACGGAGGAUGCGAGCGUUAUCCGGAUUCAUUGGGUUUAAAGGGUGCGUAGGCGGCCCGGUAAGUCAGCGGUGAAAGUUUGCGGCUCAACCGUAAAAUUGCCGUUGAUACUGUCGGGCUUGAGUUCAGAUGAAGUGGGCGGAAUGAGUAGUGUAGCGGUGAAAUGCUUAGAUAUUACUCAGAACACCGAUUGCGAAGGCAGCCCACUAAACUGCGACUGACGCUGAUGCACGAAAGCGUGGGGAUCGAACAGGAUUAGAUACCCUGGUAGUCCACGCCGUAAACGAUGUUCACUCGCUGUUUGCGAUAUAUUGCAAGCGGCCAAGCGAAAGCAUUAAGUGAACCACCUGGGGAGUACGAUCGCAAGGUUGAAACUCAAAGGAAUUGACGGGGGCCCGCACAAGCGGAGGAACAUGUGGUUUAAUUCGAUGAUACGCGAGGAACCUUACCCGGGCUUAAAUGUAGGCUGCAUGAGGUGGAAACACCCUUCCCUUCGGGGCUGCCUACAAGGUGCUGCAUGGUU
RNAcentral lists this ribosomal RNA (522 nucleotides) under uncultured bacterium. RNAcentral describes it as "bacterial SSU rRNA". It matches the Rfam family "Bacterial small subunit ribosomal RNA", at positions 524 to 1050 of the family's 1533-position model. The record is from RNAcentral.